UAGGGAAUAUUGGUAAUCUGGGAAACCGGGAACCAGCAACGCCGCGUGCGCGCUGAAGGCCUUCGGGUUGUAAAGCGCUUUUUGAGAGGAUGAGGAAGGACAGUACUCUUAGAAUAAGCCUCGGCUAACUACGUGCCAGCAGCCGCGGUAAAACGUAGGAGGCGAGCGUUAUCCGGCUUUACUGGGCGUAAAGCGUGUGUAGGCGGUUUGAUAAGUUGGAUGUGAAAGCUCCUGGCUUAACUGGGAGAGGUCGUUCAAAACUAUUA
RNAcentral lists this ribosomal RNA (266 nucleotides) under uncultured prokaryote. RNAcentral's name for it is "partial 16S ribosomal RNA". It matches the Rfam family "Bacterial small subunit ribosomal RNA", at positions 355 to 638 of the family's 1533-position model. The record is from RNAcentral.